This 468-nucleotide ribosomal RNA is filed under the name uncultured bacterium. Its description in RNAcentral is "partial 16S ribosomal RNA". It matches the Rfam family "Bacterial small subunit ribosomal RNA", at positions 28 to 507 of the family's 1533-position model. The record is from RNAcentral.
GACGAACGCUGGCGGCGCGCCUAACACAUGCAAGUCGAACGGAGCUGAGAGAAGCUUGCUUUUCUUAGCUUAGUGGCGAACGGGUGAGUAACGCGUGAGUAACCUGCCCUGGAGUGGGGGACAACAGUUGGAAACGACUGCUAAUACCGCAUAAGCCCACGAUCCGGCAUCGGAUUGAGGGAAAAGGAUUUAUUCGCUUCAGGAUGGACUCGCGUCCAAUUAGCUAGUUGGUGAGGUAACGGCCCACCAAGGCGACGAUUGGUAGCCGGACUGAGAGGUUGAACGGCCACAUUGGGACUGAGACACGGCCCAGACUCCUACGGGAGGCAGCAGUGGGGGAUAUUGCAAAAUGGGGGAAACCCUGAUGCAGCGACGCCGCGGGGAGGAAGAAGGUUUUCGGAUUGUAAACUCCUGUCGCUAGGGACGAUAAUGACGGUACCUAACAAGAAAGCACCGGCUAACUACGUG